AACCUCUGGUGUUCGGGUUGUCACGCCAGUGGCACUGCCCGGUAGCUAAGUUCGGAAUCGAUAACCGCUGAAAGCAUCUAAGCGGGAAGCGAGCCCUGAGAUGAGUCAUCCCUGACCCCUUGAGGGUCCUAAAGGGCCGUUGGAGACCACAACGUUGAUAGGUGGGGUGUGUAAGCGCAGUGAUGUGUUGAGCUAACCCAUACUAAUUACCCGUGAGGCUUAACCAUACAACACCCAAGAAGUGUUCUG
Molecule: ribosomal RNA, 249 nt
Filed under: Aeromonas salmonicida subsp. salmonicida
Lineage: Bacteria; Pseudomonadati; Pseudomonadota; Gammaproteobacteria; Aeromonadales; Aeromonadaceae
Description: partial 23S ribosomal RNA
Rfam family: Bacterial large subunit ribosomal RNA
Source: RNAcentral